Molecule: ribosomal RNA, 1688 nt
Filed under: Helicobacter pylori NQ352
Lineage: Bacteria; Pseudomonadati; Campylobacterota; Epsilonproteobacteria; Campylobacterales; Helicobacteraceae
Description: bacterial LSU rRNA
Rfam family: Bacterial large subunit ribosomal RNA
Source: RNAcentral
CACAGUGGUAGAAGAGCGUUCAUACCAGCGUUGAAGGUAUACCGGUAAGGAGUGCUGGAGCGGUAUGAAGUGAGCAUGCAGGAAUGAGUAACGAUAAGAUAUAUGAGAAUUGUAUCCGCCGUAAAUCUAAGGUUUCCUACGCGAUGGUCGUCAUCGUAGGGUUAGUCGGGUCCUAAGCCGAGUCCGAAAGGGGUAGGUGAUGGCAAAUUGGUUAAUAUUCCAAUACCGACUGUGGAGCGUGAUGGGGGGACGCAUAGGGUUAAGCGAGCUAGCUGAUGGAAGGCUAGUCUAAGGGCGUAGAUUGGAGGGAAGGCAAAUCCACCUCUGUAUUUGAAACCCAAACAGGCUCUUUGAGUCCUUUUAGGACAAAGGGAGAAUCGCUGAUACCGUCGUGCCAAGAAAAGCCUCUAAGCAUAUCCAUAGUCGUCCGUACCGCAAACCGACACAGGUAGAUGAGAUGAGUAUUCUAAGGCGCGUGAAAGAACUCUGGUUAAGGAACUCUGCAAACUAGCACCGUAAGUUGCGAUAAGGUGUGCCACAGCGAUGUGGUCUCAGCAAAGAGUCCCUCCCGACUGUUUACCAAAAACACAGCACUUUGCCAACUCGUAAGAGGAAGUAUAAGGUGUGACGCCUGCCCGGUGCUCGAAGGUUAAGAGGAUGCGUCAGUCGCAAGAUGAAGCGUUGAAUUGAAGCCCGAGUAAACGGCGGCCGUAACUAUAACGGUCCUAAGGUAGCGAAAUUCCUUGUCGGUUAAAUACCGACCUGCAUGAAUGGCGUAACGAGAUGGGAGCUGUCUCAACCAGAGAUUCAGUGAAAUUGUAGUGGAGGUGAAAAUUCCUCCUACCCGCGGCAAGACGGAAAGACCCCGUGGACCUUUACUACAACUUAGCACUGCUAAUGGGAAUAUCAUGCGCAGGAUAGGUGGGAGGCUUUGAAGUAAGGGCUUUGGCUCUUAUGGAGCCAUCCUUGAGAUACCACCCUUGAUGUUUCUGUUAGCUAACUGGCCUGUGUUAUCCACAGGCAGGACAAUGCUUGGUGGGUAGUUUGACUGGGGCGGUCGCCUCCUAAAAAGUAACGGAGGCUUGCAAAGGUUGGCUCAUUGCGGUUGGAAAUCGCAAGUUGAGUGUAAUGGCACAAGCCAGCCUGACUGUAAGACAUACAAGUCAAGCAGAGACGAAAGUCGGUCAUAGUGAUCCGGUGGUUCUGUGUGGAAGGGCCAUCGCUCAAAGGAUAAAAGGUACCCCGGGGAUAACAGGCUGAUCUCCCCCAAGAGCUCACAUCGACGGGGAGGUUUGGCACCUCGAUGUCGGCUCAUCGCAUCCUGGGGCUGGAGCAGGUCCCAAGGGUAUGGCUGUUCGCCAUUUAAAGCGGUACGCGAGCUGGGUUCAGAACGUCGUGAGACAGUUCGGUCCCUAUCUGCCGUGGGCGUAGGAAAGUUGAGGAGAGCUGUCCCUAGUACGAGAGGACCGGGAUGGACGUGUCACUGGUGCACCAGUUGUUCUGCCAAGAGCAUCGCUGGGUAGCUACACACGGAUGUGAUAACUGCUGAAAGCAUCUAAGCAGGAAGCCAACUCCAAGAUGAACUUUCCCUGAAGCUCGCACAAAGACUAUGUGCUUGAUAGGGUAGAUGUGUAAGCGCAGUAAUGCGUUUAGCUGACUACUACUAAUAGAGCGUUUGGCUUGUUUUU